RNAcentral lists this ribosomal RNA (470 nucleotides) under uncultured bacterium. RNAcentral's name for it is "SSU rRNA". It matches the Rfam family "Bacterial small subunit ribosomal RNA", at positions 26 to 518 of the family's 1533-position model. The record is from RNAcentral.
AGGAUAAACGCUGGCGGCGUGCCUAACACAUGCAAGUCGAACGCGCUUUCUUCGCAAGAGGGGAGCGAGUGGCGGACGGGUGAGUAACACAUGGGUACCUACCUUCCAGUGAGGGAUACCGGCGAGAAAUCGCCGACAAUACCGCAUAGGCUUGUCUUACGACAAGCAAAGUGACGCGAGUCACGCUGGGAGAUGGGCCUGUGGCCGAUUAGCUAGUUGGGGGGGUAACGCCUCCCAAGGCGACGAUCGGUAGCUGGUCUGAGAGGACGAUCAGCCACACUGGGAUUGAGAACGGCCCAGACUCCUACGGGGGGCAGCAGUGAGGAAUUUUCCGCAAUGGAGGCAACUCUGACGGAGCAACGCCGCGUGCAGGAGGAAGGUUUUCGGAUCGUAAACUGCUUUUCUCGGGGACGAGGCAAGGGACGGUACCCGAGGAACGAAGCCCCGGCUAACUACGUGCCAGCAGCCGC